This 450-nucleotide ribosomal RNA is filed under the name uncultured bacterium. RNAcentral describes it as "partial 16S ribosomal RNA". It matches the Rfam family "Bacterial small subunit ribosomal RNA", at positions 354 to 796 of the family's 1533-position model. The record is from RNAcentral.
GUGGGGAAUAUUGGACAAUGGGCGAAAGCCUGAUCCAGCCAUGCCGCGUGUGUGAAGAAGGUCUUCGGAUUGUAAAGCACUUUAAGUUGGGAGGAAGGGUAGUAACCUAAUACGUUGCUACUUUGACGUUACCAACAGAAUAAGCACCGGCUAACUUCGUGCCAGCAGCCGCGGUAAUACGAAGGGUGCAAGCGUUAAUCGGAAUUACUGGGCGUAAAGCGCGCGUAGGUGGUUCGUUAAGUUGGAUGUGAAAGCCCCGGGCUCAACCUGGGAACUGCUUUCAAAACUGCUGAGCUAGAGUACAGUAGAGGGUGGUGGAAUUUCCUGUGUAGCGGUGAAAUGCGUAGAUAUAGGAAGGAACACCAGUGGCGAAGGCGACCACCUGGACUGAUACUGACACUGAGGUGCGAAAGCGUGGGGAGCAAACAGGAUUAGAAACCCCUGUAGUCC